GGGGUCCUGACUGUCAGGAAGUGCUUCCUGGCAUCCAAACGAAACCUUGGCUCCCUGAGCUUUGCUCCGUUGGAGCGCGUUCUGCCUUUCAGCAGCUACCUGUCAUGAAGUCUACUUAUUAGUUCCAAUAAUUGCACACACAGUAUGCUUUUCAGUAGCAUGGUGAACAUUGCUGGUGAACAUGAGCACAAGAGUGCUGUUGCACAAACCCUCCUCUCAGCUUGUGGACUUCCAGAGACACUUGGCUGUCCACUGUGAGAACAGAAUGCUGAACCUUUAGUCAGGCCUUGAGUCUGAUCUUACAUUCUUAUUCUUUCAGCACUCUGCACCAUAUUUGGAACACUCUGGAGUAAUGACACAGGUCUCCAGAAAAUUCAAAUUGAAAUUUUUUUUAAUGCAAAUCAUUCCAGCUUGCAUAGGUUCAUUCACAAUAAAAUUUAAAGACAAUAGUAUAUACUCCCCUUAUUGCUUACAUGUAAGAAAGAAACAAAAGUACUGAAAAUUGCUGAAACACUAAAUUAGCCUUCUACCAUCUGAUGCCAUCCAAAUAUUUAGAACUACAGCUCCUAGCAUUCUUUAGUUAGCACCAAGCCACCAGUUUGGGAAAUUUUGCACAAAUUAAUUUUAGCAACCAAAAGAACUUUGCAUGAUAUGCUGACAAUUUACUCACCUAUUUCGACACAGCUCAGCUGUUCCACUGAAGU
Molecule: long non-coding RNA, 704 nt
Organism: Varanus komodoensis (Komodo dragon)
Lineage: Eukaryota; Metazoa; Chordata; Lepidosauria; Squamata; Varanidae
Exons: 4
Source: RefSeq, a predicted model, not a curated record